CAAUAGCAUAUAUUAACGUUGUUGCAGUUGAAAAGCUCGUAGUUGAACUUUUGGUAGGAGCGACCUGGCCUUGGGCUUAUGCCCUUGUUGCCGUGUGUCGUGUCUGGCCAUCCUUUUCCGCUUCGGCGGGAAUCCUUUACUGUGAGUAAACUGGAGUGCUCAAAACAAGACGUUUGUUUGGUACAUUAAAGCAUGGAAUAAUAAGAUAGGACCUGGUUACUAUUUUGUUGGUUUGCAUAGCUGGGUAAUGAUUAACAGGGACAGUUGGGGGUAUUCGUAUUUAAUUGUCAGAGGUGAAAUUCUUGGAUUUAUGAAAGACGAACGACUGCGAAAGCAUUUACCAAGGAUGUUUUCAUUAA
This 359-nucleotide ribosomal RNA is filed under the name uncultured eukaryote. RNAcentral describes it as "partial 18S ribosomal RNA". It matches the Rfam family "Eukaryotic small subunit ribosomal RNA", at positions 592 to 976 of the family's 1831-position model. The record is from RNAcentral.